UUGAAUGAACUUGGUGUGGUUGUCGCUGGCCCCUUGGGGCAUGUGCACAUCCCACCAUCCUCAUCUCUCCACCUGUGCACCUCUUGUAGACUUGGUCUACGUUUUUUCAUAUACCCCAUAGCAUGUAACAGAAUGUAUCAUAUUGGGCGCUUGUGCCUUAUAAACCUUAUA
RNAcentral lists this unclassified non-coding RNA (171 nucleotides) under uncultured Agaricales. RNAcentral describes it as "sequence contains ITS1". The record is from RNAcentral. Lineage: Eukaryota; Fungi; Basidiomycota; Agaricomycetes; Agaricales.